UACGUAGGUGGCAAGCGUUGUCCGGAUUUAUUGGGUUUAAAGGGUGCGUAGGCGGCCCUGUAAGUCAGUGCCGAAAUAUCCCAGCUUAACUGGGAGGGUGGCAUUGAUACUGCGGGGCUAGAGUACAGAUGAGGUAGGCGGAAUUGACGGUGUAGCGGUGAAAUGCUUAGAUAUCGUCAAGAACACCUAUAGCGAAGGCAGCUUACUAGGCUGUAACUGACGCUGAGGCACGAAAGUGUGGGGAUCAAACAGG
RNAcentral lists this ribosomal RNA (253 nucleotides) under uncultured bacterium. Its description in RNAcentral is "partial 16S ribosomal RNA". It matches the Rfam family "Bacterial small subunit ribosomal RNA", at positions 524 to 776 of the family's 1533-position model. The record is from RNAcentral.